CAGCAGCCGCGGUAAUACGUAGGGCGCAAGCGUUGUCCGGAAUUAUUGGGCGUAAAGAGCUCGUAGGCGGUCUGUCGCGUCUGGUGUGAAAUCCCGAGGCUCAACCUCGGGCUUGCAUCGGGUACGGGCAGACUAGAGUGCGGUAGGGGAGACUGGAAUUCCUGGUGUAGCGGUGGAAUGCGCAGAUAUCAGGAGGAACACCGAUGGCGAAGGCAGGUCUCUGGGCCGCAACUGACGCUGAGGAGCGAAAGCAUGGGGAGCGAACAGGAUUAGAUACCCCGGUAGUCCCUGUCUCUUAUAC
RNAcentral lists this ribosomal RNA (301 nucleotides) under uncultured bacterium. RNAcentral's name for it is "partial 16S ribosomal RNA". It matches the Rfam family "Bacterial small subunit ribosomal RNA", at positions 509 to 807 of the family's 1533-position model. The record is from RNAcentral.